Long non-coding RNA from Notothenia coriiceps (black rockcod), 431 nucleotides. RefSeq lists it as uncharacterized. Lineage: Eukaryota; Metazoa; Chordata; Actinopteri; Perciformes; Nototheniidae. The transcript has 3 exons. The record is from RefSeq and is a predicted model, not a curated record.
GCGGCUGUAUCCAGAAGAAGCAGAGAGACAGUGCGGCAGUUUGUGGACACACACCUCACAACAGUUGUGUUUUUAUCAAGUAAAAAAGACAUUUCCCCACCAAACGCAACUGCAUAGAUUGUCAACUUCUGCUUCAUCCUCAACGACCCUGGAUCAGUUGACUUCCUCUUCUCCUUCACCACAUUAAUAAACUAGGACACACUGCUUUCUGGAGCAGCCGUGGAUCUGCGCAGGAAGAGGGGCACCUCACAUGGGAGUGUGUGACCGUGUGUGUGAGGGUGUGUGUUCAGGCCUCCUGCCGUCGCCCGCUCUUCCCGGACAGGCAUGGCGGGGGUCCGGAAGCUCGGCUCCAGGAACCAGAGGCCGUGGUCGGUGUACCGAGCCAGCACCUUCGAGCUGUCCAACGAGAUGAUCGGACUCGCUCUCGCUGG